GCCUUUGUAGCCCAAUUGGAAGAGGCAAUAGAUUCAAAACCUAUACCGUGUGAGUUCGAGUCUCACCAAAGGCA
RNAcentral lists this transfer RNA (74 nucleotides) under Aureispira anguillae. It matches the Rfam family "tRNA". Rfam says of the family: Transfer RNA (tRNA) molecules are approximately 80 nucleotides in length. Their secondary structure includes four short double-helical elements and three loops (D, anti-codon, and T loops). Further hydrogen bonds mediate the characteristic L-shaped molecular structure. tRNAs have two regions of fundamental functional importance: the anti-codon, which is responsible for specific mRNA codon recognition, and the 3' end, to which the tRNAs corresponding amino acid is attached (by aminoacyl-tRNA synthetases). tRNAs cope with the degeneracy of the genetic code in two manners: having more than one tRNA (with a specific anti-codon) for a particular amino acid; and 'wobble' base-pairing, i.e. permitting non-standard base-pairing at the 3rd anti-codon position. Lineage: Bacteria; Pseudomonadati; Bacteroidota; Saprospiria; Saprospirales; Saprospiraceae. The record is from Rfam by way of RNAcentral.